Brassica rapa (field mustard) is the source of this 4673-nucleotide long non-coding RNA. RefSeq lists it as uncharacterized. Lineage: Eukaryota; Viridiplantae; Streptophyta; Magnoliopsida; Brassicales; Brassicaceae. The record is from RefSeq and is a predicted model, not a curated record.
UUUGGUAUAGUUAAUUAAUUUUAGUUCUCGCUGUUAAAAUUAUGUGUGGAUAUCAUAUUUUGAUUAUUUGAUUAAAUAUUUUUGCUUCAAUAAAUUUGUUAAAACCUCUAAUCAUUUAACAGUUCAUAAAAUAAUCCUACUAUAUAAAAGGAGCUAAAUCCUAGCUUCCUAAGCCUUACCACAUGGAUAAAAUAAUCAGAACCAACCAUUAUGCCAUAUCAUUCUCGAUUGGGUUUUAAAAAAAAAACCAACCAUUAAAAUAUGUGAAGAGUCACGGUUUAACCCGGUUCAACUCCAGUUACAUCAUAAUAAAACAAUGCAUGCAUUGAUUGUUGAUUAUUAAGCUUCUAGCUACCACAUCUUUGCCAUCCUAAAUCAAAAUAUGUGAAGAGUCACGGUUUAACCCGGUUCAACUCCAGUUACAUCAUAAUAAAACAAUGCAUGCAUUGUUGAUUAUUAGGCUUCUAGCUACCACAUCUUUGCCAUCCUAAAUCAAAAUCGAUUUCUACAACUUUAACUUGCCCCAUACUUAAUAUUCUUAUAGUUGGUGAACAAUGUAAUUUAAGAAAUCGUUAUAUUUUAUGCCAAAAAUGCCUACUGCAUUCAUUGAAAAUUAAAUAACAUAUAUUCUACCAUUAGGAUCAAGAACUCUAAUCUGAAGACCAUAUAUUCAUCCCCUCUCACUCUGAAAAAACCACCACCGCCAACCGUUCAAGAUUUUGUGUAAGUCAAUAUUUGAAAGUCACAAUUUUGUCAAUUUCUUGGCGUAAGUGAUAUGUUUAAGAGUUGGAUAGUUAAGUCUGUAUGCGGUUUGGGACGUGGGGUUUGGCUCACCUUCCACUGUUUAUUUUCAAUUGUUUAAUAAUAGAUUCAUAUUGAUAAUCUGUGCGAACAAACAUAUAAGAUUUUAGUUGGUUAAGAUUAAACAUAGACCGACAAUCUUCCGUCUUUAGCUAUUGGUCUCCGCCAAAAUUUUUUGAUUUAAUAUAAUAGUUCAUGCCUGCUAAGCUACUACAAUUGUAGUUCACAUCUAUCGGUCAAAUAAAAUAUUUAGUUUUUUUUUUGGCUUUAUAAUAUUUUAGUUUGUAAUUAAUCUCAUGGUUCGAUUUUAUCCAUUGGGACCUUUUUCACUAUGUUUUAUUAUCAAACCAUUUCACUUUGCCUAACAUUUAAAUAUUCUUUCCUUUGUUUAAGGAUCGAUUGUUCCUCAAUACCAUGGUCAAACCAACCGCCAAAGAUCCUCCACUUAUGGGAGGUAUUUUGAAUUUACAAGUACAUUUUUGAAUCAAAAAACAUUAUUAGUAUUGAUAUAUUAAUUUAAUACUUUAAUCCAAAACUUUAAUAAAACAAAUAUAAAAUACAAAUUAUGUUUUAUAUAUAUAUAUAUUUUUUUUUAUAUUUUUGACUAUUUACAUCUUAUUAAAUUUGAAGCGCACAAAAAAAAAGUUACAUCUUAUUUGAUAAGAUUCCAAAUAUGUAAUUGAAAUGCUACGUUUUGAUUUUUGUUUAUUGCUACGAAACGUUUUAAAAACUUGGGAAAAGGUAAAAAUACAGACGACAUGACCGGCCACUCCUUUUCCCCCGGUUUGCAAGAAUCUAAUUGAGUUGCUUAAUAUUUGUUCCAAAUUAAUAUAUAGUCCCAUCAUAAUCAUAAAUUAAUAAUCUAUCUCUAUAUAAUUUUAUAUAAGUACUAAAUAAAGAUAUUUUUAUUCAUUUUAUAGUUACAAAACUCUAAUAAAACAAAUAUAAACAUUAUUAGUAAAAUAUGUUUUUUAUUUAAAAAUACAAAUUAUGAAAGAAACCACAAUUAGUUCUUAAUAAAAAAACCUUGCUCCCAACUAUAUCAACAGAUUCGUCAUUCAUCCCUAGAAGACACAUAUAAGAAUAAUUAAAUACUUUGGCAAAAAAAAACAUUUUUGUGAUGAAGAUUCUUAGAUGAUGAUUGUUUUCUAUACAAACAUGCGGCACCUCUUCACCAUUGUUUUAAUCCCAGGAAAACGUGUAGGAAUCUAUUAAUACAAAUAUUAACAUAUUUUAAUUAAAUAUGUAAUCCGCGCGGAGCGCGGACACCGGCUCUAGUAAUCUAUUAUAUAAUAGGAGAGUUUCUCUCCCCCUGAUGCGACACGUCAGCGGUUUGUGGGUCCCACAUUUUAAAAGUGUGAAAAAGUGUCAAAUAUGUGAUUCGAAUCCAGGUUAUUGAGAUAUAAACACCCACAACUAUACCACUACACUAAAGGAUACUUUGUACAAUGAUGGCCGAAACUAAUAUAUAUUAUGAAGAUCGGAAAUUAAUAUAACAUUGUGGACCCCACCUUUUUUUUUUUUAAAUUGAUGGGUAACGAAUGGACUUCGACAAAAAGUGGGCUUUGCGCUUAUUGAUUUUCUGUUUAUUAGGCUUUGUAUCUGUCCAAAGUGGUGAUACAGACAAAGCUAAGAAGAUUAGGGAAGCCGCCAUCUUCACCAUCUCCUUCGUCGCUUGCGAUUCUCCUUCCGGCAAUCAGCUAUUAUGGUCGAUCUUUAAGGCUCUAUGCACGUUUUGCGCCUACCAAACGCUUAGUUUCUCCUCUAACGCCUUCAGAGCUCUCAUAUAUAUAGAAUCCCUCGAGGUAAAAGCUCCAUCUUGUCUCAAACUUUUCUUUCUCAGUUUUCCGAUCGCUUUACUUUCUCACAUCCGUCGCAAAAAUGACUUAUCCAGCUGCUCCAGCCGCUUCAGCCGCCAUUGCCGCCGUUCCCUACACCACCUUCAACUCUCUCCGCCUUGGAAGGUCCACUCAGUCCAUUGUUGGUCGGCUCAUCCGAUUCUAGGAUUCAAGUAACAUUAACAAGAAUUGAGAGUUUAUGGACAUCACCAUUCUCCUCCUUGAUGAACUGGUGAUGAUUGUUUCUAACUUAUUUUUUAUCACUUUAACUCUGCUUUGCUUAUUCUUUGUUCAUAUAUGAAACGUUUCUUCAUGUUUUUGUUUUGGUUUUGUCUAUGGGUUUUUUUAUGAACAAAUAAUGAUUUUUCUUUGUUUUUCUUACAGGAUUCUGUGAUCCACAGUUUCAUCCCUGCAAUCUCCAAACAAAAUAGAAAAACUGAAUGAAUUAUGUUUUUAGCAACCGAAUCUAAAAGAAAUAAAAGACAUCUUACUUAACAAAUUAAAACCUUUUAUUUUGCAGAUUCCGACGACGACGAAGCACCCGAGGACCAACGACAAUGGAAUGAUGCGGACGAAGCCUAACUGAUGGAUCCCACAGGUGAUGCUGUCCCGACGACGGAGAAAAAAAAAGAAAGAUAACCUAACGUUUUUUUUUUAUUUUUAGUUUUUAAGUUCAAAUCAUGUUUUAGACAUAGAGCCCAACAUAACUUGAGCCCAAACAUUUUAAACCCACAAUUACUUUUUCAUAAUGUAAAAACGUCAACCUUCGUUUAUGUUUUGUUAAACUAUUUUAAUCUUUAUGUUUUGUUAAACUAUUUCACACAGGGGGCAGAUCUCCUUAGAAGGGGAGCCACUCACCACGAUGCUUCCAGUUUCACCAUUCUUGAAACUCUUAUGAACCACAAAGCCAAUAUAAGAGCUCUGUUUCAAUCCAACGGCUGGAUUUUGUCACAGACCACCGCUAAGCCUGAAGAGGGAAGAGAAGUGGAGUGCUGCGUUUUGGAAGAUGGUUACUUGGAGUUUACAAGAUGAAGAUGGAACCCGUGACGAGGAAGACGAGGAGAAGUGUUACUUGGAAUAUCCUAACGUUAAGGAUGUAGACAAUGUGUGAUCUUAGCGAUGAAAAUUAGUGUAGCUUUAAUAUAUGCUACUACGGUCCUUGAGCUCCCUAACAAGUACUAGCAAACGAUGUGUAUUUUGAAAAAAUAAAAUAAUUUUGUAAUGCAAGUAGUUUGAAAUUUUGAGUAUUUAUUCAAACAACGGAUAUAUACAGAGUUGAUAACUUGAUAUGGAUCCCCAAAUAAGUUGGUGCUGCGCUGUCACAAUAUCUGUCUUUUUAAUUUUCAUAUACCUGACGUAAGCUUCUUCAUCUUCUUCUCUUUCCCUUUCCGUUGUUCCACGCUCUCUGUUUCAUGUCUAUGCCUUUUUCACAUUCUCUAUGUUUUACCUUAAUUAUACUUUUUGAAUUUUUCUUCCGUUUUGGGAGAUGUCUCUAACUUGAGUUAAUCGUCAAAAGCUAAGAUCAAUUUUGUUGUCUUAUUUCCGAUAAAUUUUAUUCUUUAAUUUGCACAAAUCUUAAACAAUACCAACAGCCCGUAAAUUUUACCGUCCCACCGAUAUCCAAAGUAACCAGCCCCGCACUUGCGCGGGGUGUCAGCACCUAGUAUCUAAUAACUGAGAAAACAGUUCUCGUUUGGGCCAUUAUGAAAGUCGUAUAAUAUGAAAUGAAUAUUAUAGUAGAAACAAAAUAACUGAAGUGAAAAAUAAUAGUUUUAUCGAAGUGAAUUUAUAUGUGACAAGGAAAAUUGCAUAAAAUUAUUAGGAGAUUGCUUUAGAAAUAGAAAAUUGUAUACUUUUCAAAAGUGUAAUAUUUCUAUCUAACGUAGGAUAUACGUAUAUAGUUAUCACCUAGUAAUCCCUAUUAAAUAACUAGAACUAACAUAAAUUUUUUUAACGUAGGAUUUGAAUUCCAGAAGAUAUAAAAAUUAGAAAUAAGGAAAAUAUAAAAAGUAAAGAUAUUUAUAGCAAUGUUUU